RNAcentral lists this ribosomal RNA (486 nucleotides) under uncultured bacterium. RNAcentral's name for it is "partial 16S ribosomal RNA". It matches the Rfam family "Bacterial small subunit ribosomal RNA", at positions 28 to 507 of the family's 1533-position model. The record is from RNAcentral.
GAUGAACGCUGGCGGCGUGCCUAAUACAUGCAAGUCGAACGCUGGAGCUCUAGCUUGCUAGAUCGAAGGAGUGGCGAACGGGUGAGUAAUACAUAAGCAACCUACCCACGAAGACUGGGAUAAUCUCUGGAAACGGGGACUAAUACCGGAUAGGUAAUCGGAAGGCAUCUUCUGGUUAUUAAAGGUUAAAAACACUGGUGGAUGGGCUUAUGGCGCAUUAGUUAGUUGGUGAGGUAACGGCCCACCAAGACGAUGAUGCGUAGCCGGCCUGAGAGGGUGAACGGCCACAUUGGGACUGAGACACGGCCCAGACUCCUACGGGAGGCAGCAGUAGGGAAGUUUCGGCAAUGGGGGCAACCCUGACCGAGCAACGCCGCGUGAGUGAAGACGGCCUUCGGGUUGUAAAGCUCUGUUGUAAGGGAAGAACGGUAGAUAGAGAAUAUCUAAGUGACGGUACCUUACCAGAAAGCCACGGCUAACUACGUG